Long non-coding RNA from Alosa alosa (allis shad), 367 nucleotides. RefSeq lists it as uncharacterized. NCBI's taxonomy places the organism in Eukaryota, Metazoa, Chordata, Actinopteri, Clupeiformes, Clupeidae. The transcript is spliced from 3 exons. The record is from RefSeq and is a predicted model, not a curated record.
ACCUGCCUUUCUCUUUCUUUCCCUUUCCUCUACUGCAGGCGAAGGGAGGGGAAGUGUGACCAGAGCGGAGGAUGAGAAAUGACCCGUGCGGAGAGGAUGGGGUCCUGGGGAGAAGAAUGGGACAGCCGGAAGAGGAACCAGAGAAAAGAAGGAAGUGGGAGAGGGAUGAGUGGAGGGGGACCACCAAACUUUCCACCGAAAAGAAAGAAGGAAUAUGCAGAGAGCCUAAUAAACCAAUCCAGCUGUAGGGGCAUCCCCAGAACAGCAAACGUUUCCAGGCAUUUCACCUGUGAUGACCUACACACCAAGACUGACCUUGCUGCCUCUUAGAUGGACCCUGCUGCCUCUUUCUUUUCAGUUAUGAGUG